GAAGGGCGGAAGCCGGAAAGUUGGUCAAACUUGAUCAUUUAGAGGAAGUAAAAGUCGUAACAAGGUUUCCGUAGGUGAACCUGCGGAAGGAUCAUUACCGAUGCCAAUGCAAACCUGUCGCUACCGUGUGAACUGUACCUAACCUUAAGGGGUCGGCAAGUCCGUCAAACGGCGGUCGUACGCGUCCCGCGGGGCGCGGACGCUCCGCCGGCCCCGCCAGUGCGUGUGUCGCUGUCAUGUGUUGUUGUCUGAUGUGGGGGGGGGGGGAGUCGCCCCUGCGAGAGCAAAAGAAGGAGAUACAACUUUUGACGGUGGAUCUCUUGGCUCACGCAUCGAUGAAGAACGCAGCCAGCUGCGAUAAGUAGUGUGAAUUGCAGAAUUCAGUGAAUCAUCGAAUCUUUGAACGCAAAUGGCGCUCUUGGGUUCUCCCAGGAGCAUGUCUGUCUGAGUGUCUGAUUCCGUCCAGCGCACCACCCCGGUGCGGCGUUGAGGCGUCACGGCCGCCGGGAAGCGGCACCGUGUCCCUCGAAGGCAAGAGAGACUCGCGAAGCCCGGGGUUCCCGGCGCACUCGCGUAGGCUGUAAAGGCUGUAAAGGCCCUUCGCGUGCCGGCGCAGCCGCCGGGCCACCGAGUCGAAGGAGGCAAAGGAGAAGGGAGAGAGCUAGCGUCUCGACCUCAGAUCAGGCGGGGCUACCCGCUGAAUUUAAGCAUAUCA
This 715-nucleotide small RNA is filed under the name Blastomussa vivida. Its description in RNAcentral is "eukaryotic LSU rRNA". The stretch from base 301 to 454 matches the Rfam family "5.8S ribosomal RNA". Lineage: Eukaryota; Metazoa; Cnidaria; Anthozoa; Scleractinia; Plerogyridae. The record is from RNAcentral.